CCAAUAGCGUAUAUUAAAGUUGUUGCAGUUAAAAAGCUCGUAGUUGAACUUCGGGAUCAAUGAGUUGGUCGUGCCAUUGGUAUGAACUGGCUUUAUUGGUUCUCACCUUCUAAUGAACCAUAAUGUCAUUCAUUUGAUGUUUUGGGGAAUUAGGACUGUUACCUUGAAAAAAUUAGAGUGUUUAAAGCAGGCUCACGCUU
RNAcentral lists this ribosomal RNA (200 nucleotides) under uncultured Glomus. RNAcentral describes it as "partial small subunit ribosomal RNA". It matches the Rfam family "Eukaryotic small subunit ribosomal RNA", at positions 591 to 796 of the family's 1831-position model. Lineage: Eukaryota; Fungi; Glomeromycota; Glomeromycetes; Glomerales; Glomeraceae. The record is from RNAcentral.